ACUCCUACGGGAGGCAGCAGUGGGGAAUAUUGCACGAAUCGGGAAGCCCAUCAUGCAGCCAUGCCGCGUGUGUGAAGAAGGCCUUCGGGUUGUAAAGCACUUUCAGUAGGGAGGAAGGUAGUGUAGUUAACACCUGCAUUAUUUGACGUUACCUACAGAAGAAGCACCGGCUAACUCCGUGCCAGCAGCCGCGGUAAUACGGAGGGUGCGAGCGUUAAUCGGAAUUACUGGGCGUAAAGCGCAUGCAGGCGGCCUGUUAAGUCAGAUGU
Molecule: ribosomal RNA, 269 nt
Filed under: uncultured bacterium
Lineage: Bacteria
Description: partial 16S ribosomal RNA
Rfam family: Bacterial small subunit ribosomal RNA
Source: RNAcentral